UGAAGUUAGCGGCGGACGGGUGAGUAACACGUGGGUAACCUGCCCAUAAGACUGGGAUAACUCCGGGAAACCGGGGCUAAUACCGGAUAAUAUUUUGAACCGCAUGGUUCGAAAUUGAAAGGCGGCUUCGGCUGUCACUUAUGGAUGGACCCGCGUCGCAUUAGCUAGUUGGUGAGGUAACGGCUCACCAAGGCAACGAUGCGUAGCCGACCUGAGAGGGUGAUCGGCCACACUGGGACUGAGACACGGCCCACACUCCUACGGGAGGCAGCAGUAGGGAAUCUUCCGCAAUGGACGAAAGUCUGACGGAGCAACGCCGCGUGAGUGAUGAAGCUUUCGGGUCGUAAACUCUGUUGUUAGGGAAGAACAAGUGCUAGUUGAUAAGCUGGCACCUUGACGGUACCUAACCAGAAGCCACGGCUAACUACGUGCCAGCAGCCGCGGUAUACGUAGGUGGCAAGCGUAUCAGGAUAUGGGCGUAAGCGCGCGCAGUUGUUUCUUAGUCUGAUGUGAAGCCCACGCUCACCGUGGAGGGUCAUUGGAACUGGAACUUGAUGAAAAGAAAGUGGAAUCCUGUGUACGGUGAAUGCGUAAGAUAUGAGGACACCAUGGCGAAGCUACUUUCUGUCUGUACUGACACUGAGGCCGAAACGUGGGAGCAACAGGAUAAUAACCUGUAUCCACGCGAACGAUGAUGCUAAUGGUAAAGGUUUCGCCCUUUAGUGCUGAAGUUAACGCAUUAAGCACUCCCGCCCUGGGGAGUACCGCCGCAAGGCUGAAACUCAAAGGGAAUUGACGGGGGCCCGCACAAGCGGUGGAGCAUGUGGUUUAAUUUGAAGCAACGCGAAGAACCUUACCAGGUCUUGACAUCCUUUGAAAACCCUAGAGAUAGGGGUUUUCCUUUGGGAGCAGAGUGACAGGUGGUGCAUGGUUGUUGUCAGCUUGUGUCGUGAGAUGUUGGGUUAAGUCCCGCAACGAGCGCAACCCUUGAUUUUAGUUGCCAUCAUUAAGUUGGGCACUUUAAGGUGACUGCCGGUGACAAACCGGAGGAAGGUGGGGAUGACGUCAAAUCAUCAUGCCCCUUAUGACCUGGGCUACCCACGUGCUACAAUGGACGGUACAAAGAGCUGCAAGACCGCGAGGUGGAGGUAAUUUCAUAAAACCGUUUUCAGUUCGGAUUGUAGGGUGCAACUCGCCUACCUGAAGCUGGAAUCGCUUGUAAUCGCGGAUCAGCCUGCCGCGGUGAAUACGUUCCCGGGCCUUGUACACCCCGCCCGUCCCCCCCCGAGAGUUUGUAACACCCGAAG
This 1307-nucleotide ribosomal RNA is filed under the name Bacillus sp. (in: firmicutes). Its description in RNAcentral is "bacterial SSU rRNA". It matches the Rfam family "Bacterial small subunit ribosomal RNA", at positions 87 to 1426 of the family's 1533-position model. Lineage: Bacteria; Bacillati; Bacillota; Bacilli; Caryophanales; Bacillaceae. The record is from RNAcentral.